UCUCCGACAACUGUCUGUCAUGUGCUUUGAUAUGUGCAGCAUGCUGUGAUGUCACGUGCAUAUAACAUGCUGUACAUAUAGUUUACAUGAUAAAAAGUAAUCUUAACAUUAACAAAUGCUUUUAGUUUUAAUAAUUUAUACAGGCCUUUGAA
This is a long non-coding RNA of Cyprinus carpio (common carp), 152 nucleotides long. RefSeq lists it as uncharacterized. NCBI's taxonomy places the organism in Eukaryota, Metazoa, Chordata, Actinopteri, Cypriniformes, Cyprinidae. The record is from RefSeq and is a predicted model, not a curated record. The transcript is spliced from 3 exons.